CUCUCUUAGAACAACAACGCUCCUCUUCUAGGGUUUGGAGUUUAUUCGAGUUCAAGUGAGUUCAACCCAUUCUUCCACUCACCUCCCAAACCCAUUCUCAAAAUUGUCGUGCUCACUCGCUUAAAUGUUAUAGUCAUUUGACUAUCUUAUUUCAGAUGCGAGAACUCCCCGUGGUCGUCAGGGUGAUGGAGAUUUCGCUGCCUAGAUCAUCUUGGAUCAGAUCUUGUUUUGUCCGAGUUUUCUUUAGGGCUAUAGCCCAUGUAAUAUCUUGCCCUUUGGAUGUUUAUUUGUGUAACUUGUAUCUGGUUUAGUCUAUGGCAUCGUGAUGUGCCUUAGUACUUCAUUUUAAGUGCCUUGGGUACGGUAAGGAGUAGUAUUAUACUCCAGGACUUUGCCUCUCAAUUAUCUAUGUG
This is a long non-coding RNA of Vigna unguiculata (cowpea), 413 nucleotides long. RefSeq lists it as uncharacterized. The record is from RefSeq and is a predicted model, not a curated record. Lineage: Eukaryota; Viridiplantae; Streptophyta; Magnoliopsida; Fabales; Fabaceae.